RNAcentral lists this ribosomal RNA (517 nucleotides) under uncultured bacterium. RNAcentral's name for it is "bacterial SSU rRNA". It matches the Rfam family "Bacterial small subunit ribosomal RNA", at positions 791 to 1296 of the family's 1533-position model. The record is from RNAcentral.
UAGUCCACGCCGUAAACGAUGCACACUGGGUGCCGGAUGCUCUGACGUAUUCGGCGCCGAAGCAAAAGUGCUAAGUGUGCCGCCUGGGGAGUACGGCCGCAAGGCUAAAACUCAAAGGAAUUGACGGGGGCUCACACAAGCGGUGGAGCAUGUGGCUUAAUUCGAAGCAACGCGAAGAACCUUACCCGGGCUUGACAUGCUUGGAUGCCUCCUGGGGAUAACUCAGGUUGGUUGCCCUUCGGGGUGAAACUUGCACAGGUGUUGCACGGCUGUCGUCAGCUCGUGCUGUGAAGUGUCGGGUUAAGUCCCUUAACGAGCGAAACCCCUGUCGUUAGUUGCCAGCGCGUUAUGGCGGGGACUCUAACGAGACUGCCGGCGUUAAGCCGGAGGAAGGUGGGGAUGACGUCAAGUCAUCGUGGCCCUUAUGUCCGGGGAUGCACACGUGCUACAAUGGUAGGUACAGAGGGCAGCAAGACCGCGAGGUGGAGCAAAUCCCAAGAAACCUGCCUCAGUUCGG